RNAcentral lists this ribosomal RNA (254 nucleotides) under uncultured bacterium. RNAcentral's name for it is "partial 16S ribosomal RNA". It matches the Rfam family "Bacterial small subunit ribosomal RNA", at positions 524 to 776 of the family's 1533-position model. The record is from RNAcentral.
UACGUAGGGUCCGAGCGUUGUCCGGAAUUACUGGGCGUAAAGAGCUCGUAGGUGGUUUGUCGCGUUGUUCGUGAAAACUCACAGCUCAACUGUGGGCGUGCGGGCGAUACGGGCAGACUAGAGUACUGCAGGGGAGACUGGAAUUCCUGGUGUAGCGGUGGAAUGCGCAGAUAUCAGGAGGAACACCGGUGGCGAAGGCGGGUCUCUGGGCAGUAACUGACGCUGGAGGAGCGAAAGCGUGGGGAGCGAACAGG